Molecule: ribosomal RNA, 495 nt
Filed under: uncultured bacterium
Lineage: Bacteria
Description: partial 16S ribosomal RNA
Rfam family: Bacterial small subunit ribosomal RNA
Source: RNAcentral
GACGAACGCUGGCGGCGUGCUUAACACAUGCAAGUCGAACGGAAAGGCCUGCUUUCCCUUGUGGAUUGCGGGUACUCGAGUGGCGAACGGGUGAGUAACACGUGAGUGAUCUGCCCCCAACUUGGGUAUAAGCCUGGGGAAACUGGGUCUAAUUCCCGAUAGGACUGCAGGGUGGUGCCUGUGGUGGAAACCGAUUUUCUAGUGGUUGGGGAUGAGCUCGCGGCCUAUCAGCUUGUUGGUGGGGUAAUGGCCUACCAAGGCGGCGACGGGUAGCCGGCCUGAGAGGGUGGACGGCCACAUUGGGACUGAGAUACGGCCCAGACUCCUACGGGAGGCAGCAGUGGGGAAUAUUACACAAUGGGCGGAAGCCUGAUGCAGCGACGCCGCGUGGGGGAUGACGGCCUUCGGGUUGUAAACUCCUUUCGACCGCGAGGAAGCCACCUGGUUGGAAGGGUGGUGACGGUAGUGGUAGAAGAAGCACCGGCUAACUACGUG